RNAcentral lists this ribosomal RNA (422 nucleotides) under uncultured prokaryote. Its description in RNAcentral is "bacterial SSU rRNA". It matches the Rfam family "Bacterial small subunit ribosomal RNA", at positions 355 to 774 of the family's 1533-position model. The record is from RNAcentral.
UGAGGAAUAUUGGUCAAUGGGUGCAAGCCUGAACCAGCCAUCCCGCGUGAAGGAUUAAGGUCCUAUGGAUUGUAAACUUCUUUUGUAUAGGGAUAAACCUACCCUCGUGAGGGUAGCUGAAGGUACUAUACGAAUAAGCACCGGCUAACUCCGUGCCAGCAGCCGCGGUAAUACGGAGGGUGCAAGCGUUAUCCGGAUUUAUUGGGUUUAAAGGGUCCGUAGGCGGACUUAUAAGUCAGUGGUGAAAUCCUGUCGCUUAACGAUAGAACUGCCAUUGAUACUGUAAGUCUUGAGUAUAUUUGAGGUAGCUGGAAUAAGUAGUGUAGCGGUGAAAUGCAUAGAUAUUACUUAGAACACCAAUUGCGAAGGCAGGUUACCAAGAUAUAACUGACGCUGAGGGACGAAAGCGUGGGGAGCGAACA